Non-coding RNA from Tupaia belangeri chinensis (Chinese tree shrew), 928 nucleotides. NCBI's taxonomy places the organism in Eukaryota, Metazoa, Chordata, Mammalia, Scandentia, Tupaiidae. The record is from the annotation of a RefSeq genome assembly.
GACUUCUCUCUGCUGUGGCCUAGUCUGGAAGACCAGCCCGAACUUACUGUCUUCUGCCCUAGGGCUCUCUUUUUUUUUCUAGGUGGAACUGAGUUUUGAGAGGAUAUUUUAUGCCUUUGCCAUCUGGGACCCUCCCAGCCCCACCUUCUAAGGCCUGGGAAGGGAGGAUGCCCUGGGCUCUUGUCCAACUUUUAGCUUUCCUGGCUUCUGACAUAAACUUGAAUGCAGACCUCUCCCCCAAGCCCACGACGUUUCUUCCUUCAGUUGCUGAAACAACCCUCCACAAGGCUGGAACCUAUGUUUGUCUUCUUGAGAAAUUUUUCCCCGAUGUGAUUUAUGUACAUUGGAAAGAAAAGAAUGGCAAUAGGAUUCUGGAAUCCCAGCAGGGAGAAACCAUGAAGACUGCUGGCACGUACAUGAAAUUGAGCUGGCUGACUGUGAGCGGAAAUUCCCUGGAUAAAGAACACCAGUGCAUCGUCAAACACGAGAACAAUAAAGGAGGUGUCGAUCAAGAGAUUCUCUUUCCUGCCAUAAAAGAAGCUGUUAUGGCUACUGAUCCAACAGAAGCCCCUGUAACAGCUUCUACUAUCUAUUCUACAAAAGCUUAUAUGAAAAAUGAAACAGAGCAGGCACUGCUAAGCAGGCGACUUUUCCGGGAGGCACUGCGGCUGCAGCUCACCAGCACCUCCGCGUACUACACCUACCUCCUCCUGCUCCUCAAGAGUGCGGCCUACUCUGCCGUCAUCACCCUCUGUGUGUUCAGAAGAGCAGCUGUGUGUGGCACUGGGAACAGUGUGUCAUAGACAGAGGCACAAAGAGGUGGUCUCCUCACCAUUCCUUGUUCCUAAAAACAUCUGCUGAGGAUCUAUCUGGGCGUUCAGUCUGCAUUUGGGCUCUUUCAGUUUUCCUGUGUGCUAUUAUUCUCUCA